GUUGUUCACGUUGUUCCGCUGCUGUGCCGGUCCACUAGGAUGGAGGAUGCUCGACUUCCUUGCUUGAAAGUAACGGGAUCCCACUACGAAGUUGGACGUCAAGUGGGCGAGGCGUUCAAAGAUCGAAUAGCCGAGGCCUACUACAAGUCAGAAUCAUUUAGUGAGCUGCAUGAGUUUGCCAAGUCCAGCACUGGCCAAGCACAUCUCAACCGAUGGAAGGAUGCCGUAGAACGCUAUCCCAAUGUUGUGGCCGAGAUGAAAGGCCUUGCCGAUGGCAGUGGCAUUGACUACGAGGAGGUAUUCCUGUACAAUUGUUCCGUUGAAAUCGGUAUUAUCCUGCUUGAACUGGACACCAUAACAUCUUGCAGUGAUUUGUUACUCCAGCAACCAAAUAUGGUUUUGAGUGCACACAACGAAGACGGGCCUGACAGCGCUGUGAACACGUCCUAUCUUAUUCACGCUGAAAUCACCGGCAAUGACGGUACUGUCGAAGAAGACUUUGUAGCAUUUGCGUAUGCGGGCAUACUGCCAGGAAAUGCAUUCGGCUUCAAUCGGCAUGGCCUGUCGUUUUCAACCAACGCUAUUUAUGGAAAAUACCUACGGGAAAAUGACGCAGCAUUGCCUCGUGUAGUCUUGGGCCGCAUGGUGCUCGGUGUAAAGACGGUUGAUGAACUGCUCAAUAAGCUGCAAGGUACUGGCGAGCAGUACAAGUCACCAAUUUGGCAGUCCGUGUCAUCGUUCAGCCUGAACAUUGGCGACCGUGUGAAUGCCAAGGUUAUGAACAUUGAACUGUCCACGCGUGGCAUUUCUAAAACGACAACAGAGAAUGGCUUCUUGCAUCAUUUCAACAUGUGUAUACAGGUUUGUGCAUACACCAGAACCCCAGUACGUACACAUGAGUUCAGUGCAUCGCACAAGAGCACUGGCUACUCUGGAAGGUCCCACCGAUAGCAGCUCUGCACUCAACAUACUUUCCGACACAUCCGACACGGAGUACCCGAUGUACCGAAAUGGCGCUUCACCCGAUGUACUGUCCACCAUAGCAACAGUGGUGUAUGACUUGCUACGAGGAGUUGCUGAAAUCUACACCACCCAGCCACUUCCCGGUGUCACUCCAACGUAUGAGUUCAACUUCUAGCCCGCCCGGCAACUUGCUCUGACAGCCAUCGGUAUCAUUGCGGUCAGACAAGUUGCAUUGAAUUUAGGGCAGUAUUUAUGUGUAAAGCUCCUAGCCGUUUGCCAGCCAUCUACCUCAUCAUUUCAAGUCCUAUUCCACCAUUCCAUCACUAAGUAAAAGUAUCUGGUUUUCACAUUAUUCAAUGAAUGCAUUAGGUUCCACUGCAGCCAAUUCUUUAGAAACCAUUCCAGUUUAAAAUGAAAUUUAAUAAUAUAUGAGAGGCUAUAUUCAGCACUACAUUGUAGUUCCAAAGCCUUAGUGACCAUAGGCUACAGUAGAAAUUAUUCUGAUCUAAAGUUUUGCCCCCUCACGGUGGCUUAGUUCAUUAGAAAGUAGAUUUAGAAGCUUCAUCACGGCCGGGCUUGGUCCUAGCUCUCACCAG
RNA transcript from Sycon ciliatum, 1559 nucleotides. It is a transcript of the gene named beta-alanyl-dopamine/carcinine hydrolase-like, with no coding region annotated. The transcript has 9 exons. NCBI's taxonomy places the organism in Eukaryota, Metazoa, Porifera, Calcarea, Leucosolenida, Sycettidae. The record is from RefSeq and is a predicted model, not a curated record.